GUAUACAUAAACUGAAGCUAUUUCAAAGCAUUCGCAACAAAUUCACACUAAAGUUCGAUACAUACCAGUAUUUUCGAGCAGCAGCACCAAAAUGUCUUGGAAACCCCAAGCGAAGCCCGUGACCAGCAAGGGCGACAGGCCAGUCACCAAGGUCAACAAGGAGAACAAGACUGCGGCUAAGCAACAUCCUGUGACACGUACCCCAACAUCCCGACCCAAUACACAUGAUCGGAUUUGGAAGAUCAUGAAAAUGUAAACAUGAUGAAGCCAUUCGACCGCUUGGUUGGUAUAUCUACCAAUCAACAAGAUCGGAUUUUGAAAACCAUGACCAUCUAACCAUGGUAACUAUAAUUCGACCUCUUAAUUGGUAUAUGUACCAAUCCACAUCAAAGGUCAAGAUUUCCAACGCGUUCGAGAUGUAUUUCCGAUCUAAGAACACGUUAUUCUCUCUGCAGAUUUGAUGGUGAUGGGACAGCCCACCCCAAUGUUUGAUUUUUUUUCUACAUAUAUGUUCGGAAAUGAUUUAAAAUAAAAAUAAUCUUUUGGUCGCGCUGGGCGCUGAAUAAAGCGAAAAAGUCCCAACACAGAAAAACUCUUAUAAUU
Long non-coding RNA from Drosophila persimilis, 603 nucleotides. RefSeq lists it as uncharacterized. Lineage: Eukaryota; Metazoa; Arthropoda; Insecta; Diptera; Drosophilidae. The record is from RefSeq and is a predicted model, not a curated record. The transcript is spliced from 4 exons.